Molecule: ribosomal RNA, 250 nt
Filed under: uncultured bacterium
Lineage: Bacteria
Description: partial 16S ribosomal RNA
Rfam family: Bacterial small subunit ribosomal RNA
Source: RNAcentral
UACGUAGGUGGCAAGCGUUAUCCGGAUUUACUGGGUGUAAAGGGCGUGUAGGCGGGACUGCAAGUCAGAUGUGAAACCCAUGGGCUCAACCCAUGGCCUGCAUUUGAAACUGUGGUUCUUGAGUGUCGGAGAGGUAAUCGGAAUUCCGUGUGUAGCGGUGAAAUGCGUAGAUAUACGGAGGAACACCAGUGGCGAAGGCGGAUUACUGGACGAUAACUGACGCUGAGGCGCGAAAGCGUGGGGAGCAAAC